This 77-nucleotide transfer RNA is filed under the name Candidatus Saccharimonadota bacterium. RNAcentral describes it as "Candidatus Saccharibacteria bacterium tRNA-Arg". It matches the Rfam family "tRNA". Rfam says of the family: Transfer RNA (tRNA) molecules are approximately 80 nucleotides in length. Their secondary structure includes four short double-helical elements and three loops (D, anti-codon, and T loops). Further hydrogen bonds mediate the characteristic L-shaped molecular structure. tRNAs have two regions of fundamental functional importance: the anti-codon, which is responsible for specific mRNA codon recognition, and the 3' end, to which the tRNAs corresponding amino acid is attached (by aminoacyl-tRNA synthetases). tRNAs cope with the degeneracy of the genetic code in two manners: having more than one tRNA (with a specific anti-codon) for a particular amino acid; and 'wobble' base-pairing, i.e. permitting non-standard base-pairing at the 3rd anti-codon position. Lineage: Bacteria; Candidatus Saccharimonadota. The record is from RNAcentral.
CUCUCUGUAGCUUAAUCGGAUAAAGCACCGGUCUUCUAAACCGGGUACUCUGGGUUCGAGUCCCAGCAGGGAGGCUA